CUGCCAGUAGUCAUAUGCUUGUCUCAAAGAUUAAGCCAUGCAUGUCUCAGUACAAGCCAAAUUAAGGUGAAACCGCGAAAGGCUCAUUAAAUCAGUUAUGGUUCCUUAGAUCGUACCCACAAUUACUUGGAUAACUGUGGUAAUUCUAGAGCUAAUACAUGCAAACAGAGCUCCGACCGGAGACGGAAGGAGUGCUUUUAUUAGAUCAAAACCAAUCGGUGGCGAGUUCGCUCGUCAUCGUACAACUUGGUGACUGUGAAUAACUUUACGCUGAUCGCACGGUCUCGCACCGGCGACGCAUCUUUCAAAUGUCUGCCUUAUCAACUGUCGAUGGUAGGUUCUGCGCCUACCAUGGUUGUAACGGGUAACGGGGAAUCAGGGUUCGAUUCCGGAGAGGGAGCCUGAGAAACGGCUACCACAUCCAAGGAAGGCAGCAGGCGCGCAAAUUACCCACUCCCGGCACGGGGAGGUAGUGACGAAAAAUAACGAUACGGGACUCAUCCGAGGCCCCGUAAUCGGAAUGAGUACACUCUAAACCCUUUAACGAGGAUCAAUUGGAGGGCAAGUCUGGUGCCAGCAGCCGCGGUAAUUCCAGCUCCAAUAGCGUAUAUUAAAGU
Molecule: ribosomal RNA, 617 nt
Filed under: Rhinoscapha tuberculata
Lineage: Eukaryota; Metazoa; Arthropoda; Insecta; Coleoptera; Curculionidae
Description: SSU rRNA
Rfam family: Eukaryotic small subunit ribosomal RNA
Source: RNAcentral